RNAcentral lists this ribosomal RNA (452 nucleotides) under uncultured bacterium. RNAcentral describes it as "bacterial SSU rRNA". It matches the Rfam family "Bacterial small subunit ribosomal RNA", at positions 1052 to 1504 of the family's 1533-position model. The record is from RNAcentral.
UCGUCAGCUCGUGUCGUGAGAUGUUGGGUUAAGUCCCGCAACGAGCGCAACCCUUGCCUUUAGUUGCCAGCAUUAAGUUGGGCACUGUAGAGGGACUGCCGAGGAUAACUCGGAGGAAGGUGGGGAUGACGUCAAAUCAUCAUGCCCCUUAUGCUUAGGGCUACACACGUGCUACAAUGGGUGGUACAGAGGGUUGCCAAACCGUGAGGUGGAGCUAAUCCCUUAAAGCCAUUCUCAGUUCGGAUUGUAGGCUGAAACUCGCCUACAUGAAGCUGGAGUUACUAGUAAUCGCAGAUCAGAAUGCUGCGGGGAAUGCGUUCCCGGGUCUUGUACCCCCCCCCCGUCCCCCCAUGGGAGUUGGGGGCGCCCGAAGCCGGUUAGCUAACCUUUUAGGAGGCAACCGUCGAAGGUGAAACCAAUGACUGGGGUGAAGUCGUACCAAGGUAACCGUA